AUACCACUUGUUGCCUCGGCGGAUCAGCCCGCUCCCGGUAAAACGGGACGGCCCGCCAGAGGACCCCUAAACUCUGUUUCUAUAUGUAACUUCUGAGUAAAACCAUAAAUAAAUCAAAACUUUCAACAACGGAUCUCUUGGUUCUGGCAUCGAUGAAGAACGCAGCAAAAUGCGAUAAGUAAUGUGAAUUGCAGAAUUCAGUGAAUCAUCGAAUCUUUGAACGCACAUUGCGCCCGCCAGUAUUCUGGCGGGCAUGCCUGUUCGAGCGUCAUUUCAACCCUCAAGCACAGCUUGGUGUUGGGACUCGCGUUAAUUCGCGUUCCCCAAAUUGAUUGGCGGUCACGUCGAGCUUCCAUAGCGUAGUAGUAAAACCCUCGUUACUGGUAAUCGUCGUGGCCACGCCGUUAAACCCCAACUUCUGAAUGUUGACCUCGGAUCAGGUAGGAAUACCCGCUGAACUUAAGCAUAUC
RNAcentral lists this ribosomal RNA (470 nucleotides) under Fusarium sp. EAS142. RNAcentral's name for it is "eukaryotic LSU rRNA". The stretch from base 118 to 271 matches the Rfam family "5.8S ribosomal RNA". Lineage: Eukaryota; Fungi; Ascomycota; Sordariomycetes; Hypocreales; Nectriaceae. The record is from RNAcentral.